GAUGAAGAACGUAGCAAAAUGCGAUAAGUAAUGUGAAUUGCAGAAUUCAGUGAAUCAUCAAAUCUUUGAACGCACAUUGCGCCCGCCAGUAUUCUGGCGGGCAUGCCUGUUCGAGCGUCAUUUCAACCCUCAAGCUCAGCUUGGUGUUGGGACUCGCGGUAACCCGCGUUCCCCAAAUCGAUUGGCGGUCACGUCGAGCUUCCAUAGCGUAGUAAUCAUACACCUCGUUACUGGUAAUCGUCGCGGCCACGCCGUAAAACCCCAACUUCUGAAUGUUGACCUCGGAUCAGGUAGGAAUACCCGCUGAACUUAAGCAUAUCAAUAAGCGGAGGA
This 333-nucleotide unclassified non-coding RNA is filed under the name soil metagenome. RNAcentral's name for it is "partial contains 5.8S ribosomal RNA, internal transcribed spacer 2, and large subunit ribosomal RNA". The stretch from base 1 to 120 matches the Rfam family "5.8S ribosomal RNA", at positions 35 to 154 of the family's 154-position model. The record is from RNAcentral.